GCUGGGUGUGGUGGUGCACGCCUGCAAUUUCAGUGGCUCGGGAGGCUGAGACAGGAGGAUCGUGAGUUCAGAGCCAGUUUCAGCAAAAGCAAGGCACUAAGCAAUUCAGUGAGACCCUGUCUCUA
This 125-nucleotide small RNA is filed under the name Marmota monax (woodchuck). Lineage: Eukaryota; Metazoa; Chordata; Mammalia; Rodentia; Sciuridae. The record is from RNAcentral.